AGCAGCCGCGGUAAUUCCAGCUCCAAUAGCGUAUAUUAAAGUUGCUGCAGUUAAAAAGCUCGUAGUUGAAUUUCGGGACUAAUAUGUCGGUCGUGCCUCGGUACGUACUGGUUUAUUGGUUUCUCCUUUCUGAAGAACCAUGAUGUCAUUUAUUUGGUGUCGUGGGGAAUCAGGACUGCUACUUUGAAAAAAUUAGAGUGUUUAAAGCAGGCUCACGCUUGAAUACAUUAGCAUGGAAUAAUGAAAUAGGACGUUUGAUUCUAUUUUGUUGGUUUCUAGGAUCGACGUAAUGAUUAAUAGGGAUAGUUGGGGGCAUUAGUAUUCAAUUGCCAGAGGUGAAAUUCUUGGAUUUAUUGAAGACUAACUACUGCGAAAGCAUUUGCCAAGGAUGUUUUCAUUAAUCAAGAACGAAAGUUAGGGGAUCGAAGACGAUCAGAUACCGUCGUAGUCUUAACCAUAAACUAUGCCGACUAGGGAUCGGAUGAUGUUAAUUUUUUAAUGACUCA
Molecule: ribosomal RNA, 506 nt
Filed under: uncultured Glomus
Lineage: Eukaryota; Fungi; Glomeromycota; Glomeromycetes; Glomerales; Glomeraceae
Description: SSU rRNA
Rfam family: Eukaryotic small subunit ribosomal RNA
Source: RNAcentral